CAAGUAAUACAAAAUGUAACUCACCAUCAAACCACUUGAAAACCUAGAAGCAUUUCCUGUGGACAAUGGAUGGACCAGAUUCGUCAUACUCGCCCUUGGAAAUCCACAUCUGAUGCAACAGGUAA
Hibiscus syriacus is the source of this 125-nucleotide long non-coding RNA. RefSeq lists it as uncharacterized. The transcript has 3 exons. NCBI's taxonomy places the organism in Eukaryota, Viridiplantae, Streptophyta, Magnoliopsida, Malvales, Malvaceae. The record is from RefSeq and is a predicted model, not a curated record.